CCGGAGUGCGAGUGGUCAUCUGCGUGGUUGCUGAGUGUGCUGCGUGUGGGCUGCUCUGGGGUCUCCCGGGUGCGAGUCUCCAUGUCUGCCUCUCAUGGCUUGUGCCCUUGUGAAGGCUGGGGUGAGCUGGCCUCCAGGCUCCCGGAUGUGGGGCCUCAGGGUGGUGAGUGGAUCCCAGCGUGUUGGCCGCGUCCUGACAGCCUCUGAGGGCUUCCUCGGCCUGGUUCGAGUUGGAGGUGGGGUUGAGAAUCCGUCUCUGAGAACCUGAAGCUUUUCCUGCUGAUUCUCACUAUUUUCCCAGCAAACUUCCACCCAAGAAAGUUCCAGAAAGAACACCCGUGGGAGGCCUCCCUGCUACAGCGAAGCAGACCUCACCCACCACUACCAGUAUUAAGUCAGAACGGCCAAAGGAAGAUCCUGCCAGACUUUCCCUUGAGCUGGUCUGCAGGCCCCUGCAGCCAGGAACCUGUCCCAGGAGCCGUCCGUCCGUCCAUUGGCAAACAGGUGCGUGCCCCUUCACAUUGCACUUUCUGCUCCCCUGGAGCUGGUUCGUGGGCUGGGGCUUCUCGGGGUGGGGGGGCACUCGGGGGCCAGGGUGUGGGC
RNAcentral lists this long non-coding RNA (603 nucleotides) under Zalophus californianus (California sea lion). Its description in RNAcentral is "lncRNA (ENSZCAG00015022625.1)". Lineage: Eukaryota; Metazoa; Chordata; Mammalia; Carnivora; Otariidae. The record is from RNAcentral.